RNAcentral lists this ribosomal RNA (332 nucleotides) under uncultured bacterium. RNAcentral's name for it is "bacterial SSU rRNA". It matches the Rfam family "Bacterial small subunit ribosomal RNA", at positions 568 to 898 of the family's 1533-position model. The record is from RNAcentral.
CGUGUAGGCGGCUAAUUAAGUCAGGCGUGAAAUCUAUGGGCUUAACCCAUAAAUUGCGUUUGAAGCUGGAUAGCUUGAGGAUCGGAGAGGGCAGUGGAAUUCCCAGUGUAGCGGUGAAAUGCGUAGAUAUUGGGAGGAACACCAGUGGCGAAGGCGACUGCCUGGACGACACCUGACGCUGAGGCGCGAAAGCUAGGGGAGCAAACGGGAUUAGAUACCCCGGUAGUCCUAGCCGUAAACGAUGGGUACUAGGUGUGGGAGGUAUCGACCCCUUCCGUGCCGCAGUUAACACAAUAAGUACCCCGCCUGGGGAGUACGGCCGCAAGGUUGAA